GACGAACGCUGGCGGCGUGCCUAACACAUGCAAGUCGAACGGACAGGCCCUGCUUUUGUGGGGUGCUUGUGAGGCGAACGGGUGAGUAACACGUGAGUAUCCUGUCCUUGUCUUUGGGAUAACACUAGGAAAAUGGGGCUCUUAUCGGAUAGGAGCUUCUGCUGCAUGGUGGGGGAUGGAAAGUUUCGGUGGUUUGGGAUGGACUCGCGGGUUAUCCGCUUGAUGGUGGGGUAGUGGCUUACCAAGGCUUCGACGGGUAGGCGGCCUGAGAGGGUGACCGGCCACAUGAGGACUGAGAUACGCACCAGAAGGCUACGGGAGGCAAUAGGGGGGAAUAUUACACAGUAAGGGGAAGCCUGAGACGACGGCGCCGCGUGCGUGAUGACGGGCUUCGGGGUGUAAACCGCUUUCGCCGGAAACGAAGCGUGAGUGACGGUAAUGGAUAAAAAAGCACCGGCUAACUACGUG
RNAcentral lists this ribosomal RNA (468 nucleotides) under uncultured bacterium. Its description in RNAcentral is "partial 16S ribosomal RNA". It matches the Rfam family "Bacterial small subunit ribosomal RNA", at positions 28 to 507 of the family's 1533-position model. The record is from RNAcentral.